RNAcentral lists this ribosomal RNA (254 nucleotides) under uncultured bacterium. RNAcentral's name for it is "partial 16S ribosomal RNA". It matches the Rfam family "Bacterial small subunit ribosomal RNA", at positions 79 to 334 of the family's 1533-position model. The record is from RNAcentral.
CUUUCUUUGCUGGCGACCGGCGCACGGGUGAGUAACACGUAUCCAACCUGCCCUUUACUCGGGGAUAGCCUUUCGAAAGAAAGAUUAAUACCCGAUAGCAUAAUGAUUCCGCAUGGUUUCAUUAUUAAAGGAUUCCGGUAAAGGAUGGGGAUGCGUUCCAUUAGGUUGUUGGUGAGGUAACGGCUCACCAAGCCUCCGAUGGAUAGGGGUUCUGAGAGGAAGGUCCCCCACAUUGGAACUGAGACACGGUCCAA